Molecule: small RNA, 123 nt
Filed under: Rhizobium sp. RU36D
Lineage: Bacteria; Pseudomonadati; Pseudomonadota; Alphaproteobacteria; Hyphomicrobiales; Rhizobiaceae
Description: Rhizobiales sRNA Atu_C8
Rfam family: Rhizobiales sRNA Atu_C8
Source: Rfam by way of RNAcentral
GAAAAAUCUUAAGGCACUUAUCGUGGUGGGAUGGCGCAUGGGCAGGAUGGUGUAACCAUCCGGCGAUAGCCACCCAUGCGCAGACAAACAGGCUCCCCAGGGAGCCUUUUUUUAUGGCCUGAA